Molecule: long non-coding RNA, 652 nt
Organism: Lathyrus oleraceus (garden pea)
Lineage: Eukaryota; Viridiplantae; Streptophyta; Magnoliopsida; Fabales; Fabaceae
Exons: 2
Source: RefSeq, a predicted model, not a curated record
UCAUGUCUUCAGCUACGCGCCAUCGUCGCCUCUCAACCUCCAACCUUCAACCGAUUCCUCUAAACACCCUUUCACCUUGCAAUCAAACCUCUAAACGCAUUCUUGUCACGUAUCUAAAUCAUCCUUCAUGCCAACGCCAUCACGGUAAUUGCUCCGCAACCUCAAGGUGCCAUGGAAGCCUCUGAAACUCAUAAUCGAUCUCUGCAAACUAUGUCAUCUCCAUUUCGAAUUCAACAGCCAUGAAAACACGUGGAAGCUCAAGCACGGUAGAGUCGAACGAAAGAGGAGAACUCAUUUAGAAAGAAAAACGCAUCGAAAGUGUUUACAGAUUACGUACCGGAAUCUGACACGGUUCCGACGUCGUAAACGGUUUCACAGGCCCAUGGAUCUUCAAUUUGUGCCAUACUGUUUGGAACGUAAUAGCUUGAAGGAGCCUUGGCCAUGACUUAAUUGGAAUAUGGAUGUUCCAAGAAUUGCUUGGACUUGAAGAAAUGGUCCAUGAAUUAGGAUAUUAGGAGUUAAAACAUGCUAUGUUAAUUUGUAAUUGCUUCUUUUGAUUUGCUCUUUGUAAUAUGCAAUGUAAGGCCAUGGAUUUUAUGUACAUGAAUAUUGAAAAUUGAAUGAAAAGAAAUGGAAAGUUUGAUGGAGUAAA